RNAcentral lists this ribosomal RNA (253 nucleotides) under uncultured bacterium. Its description in RNAcentral is "partial 16S ribosomal RNA". It matches the Rfam family "Bacterial small subunit ribosomal RNA", at positions 524 to 776 of the family's 1533-position model. The record is from RNAcentral.
UACAGAGGUCUCAAGCGUUGUUCGGAUUCAUUGGGCGUAAAGGGUGCGUAGGCGGCGCGGUAAGUCUGAUGUGAAAUCUCCAAGCUUAACUUGGAAAUGGCAUCGGAUACUAUUCGGCUCGAGGAAUGGAGGGGAGACUGGAAUACUUGGUGUAGCAGUGAAAUGCGUAGAUAUCAAGUGGAACACCAGUGGCGAAGGCGAGUCUCUGGACAUUUCCUGACGCUGAGGCACGAAAGCCAGGGGAGCAAACGGG